This 775-nucleotide ribosomal RNA is filed under the name uncultured bacterium. RNAcentral's name for it is "bacterial SSU rRNA". It matches the Rfam family "Bacterial small subunit ribosomal RNA", at positions 51 to 813 of the family's 1533-position model. The record is from RNAcentral.
ACACAUGCAAGUCGAGGGGAAACGGCAUUAAGUGCUUGCACUUUUUGGACGUCGACCGGCGCACGGGUGAGUAACGCGUAUCCAACCUUCCCAUGACUAAGGGAUAACCUGCCGAAAGGCAGACUAAUACCUUAUAGUCUUCACUGACGGCAUCAGAUGUGAAGUAAAGAUUUAUCGGUUAUGGAUGGGGAUGCGUCUGAUUAGCUUGUUGGCGGGGUAACGGCCCACCAAGGCAACGAUCAGUAGGGGUUCUGAGAGGAAGGUCCCCCACAUUGGAACUGAGACACGGUCCAAACUCCUACGGGAGGCAGCAGUGAGGAAUAUUGGUCAAUGGGCGAGAGCCUGAACCAGCCAAGUAGCGUGCAGGAUGACGGCCCUAUGGGUUGUAAACUGCUUUUGUAUGGGGAUAAAGUCAAUCACGUGUGAUUGUUUGCAGGUACCAUACGAAUAAGGACCGGCUAAUUCCGUGCCAGCAGCCGCGGUAAUACGGAAGGUCCGGGCGUUAUCCGGAUUUAUUGGGUUUAAAGGGAGCGUAGGCUGGAGAUUAAGUGUGUUGUGAAAUGUAGACGCUCAACGUCUGACUUGCAGCGCAUACUGGUUUCCUUGAGUACGCACAACGUUGGCGGAAUUCGUCGUGUAGCGGUGAAAUGCUUAGAUAUGACGAAGAACUCCGAUUGCGAAGGCAGCUGACGGGAGCGCAACUGACGCUGAAGCUCGAAGGUGCGGGUAUCGAACAGGAUUAGAUACCCUGGUAGUCCGCACAGUAAACGAUGGA